GGAGCAAGGGCUUGUGGGGAUUGAAGUCCAGACAUCUAGUCUAUUUUUUUACAGCUAGAAGUAUUGGGUACAUUGAAAGAAACUGAUAGAUAACAAAGGAAGAAUCUUUAUGUAGCAGCCCACUCAUAACUAGGGGCAAGGGGAACAGUCAGUCUUGGGCAUGCUCAGUAGUGCUCAUGGCUGGGAAGGCCUCUGACCCUUGACCCCAGCUUCUCCCAGGUUAGGCGGGAAAACAGGUUUCUUUGUUCUCACCUGGUUAAGAGAAACCACACCUACGCCUUGUCAUUGACCAAUGAGGGUCAUCCCUAUGUACUGUGUAUAUUUGCAUAUCAAAAACUAUAUCUAGCCCAGCAGGCUCCGCCUUCGCUCUCUCUGCCCUCUGCUCUCUGCUCGCUCCUUCUCUUUCAGGCUACCUGAUGGCUGUCCUCGCAGGAGCUUGGCCUCUGGCCAAGCUCCAUCUUUAAUCUUUCUCUAUUCACCUCUCUGACCUGCGUGGAAUGGAUCUCAGGACUGGAAUAGCCUACUGAAUUGGUCCUUUGAUCAGAGCUUAGCUGUGGCUCAUUGAUAAUUAAUAAAGACUCAUUCUGAACACCUCAUAUCUCUAUUAGGACUCCGUCACUUCCCUCGUGGUAUCAAAACUUCUAUCCUGUCUCUAUCUUCCUACCUUGUGGCUUCUCUCACCUCAGAGAGAGCUACAGAUGGCGCCCAAACGUGCUUAGGGCCCCCUCCUAGCACUCUCGUGGCAUUCCACUCUUUUAUUUCACACAGCGAAUGGGAGAACGCGUUCGAGGACACGAGGCUAAUAGUAGGCGGGUGCCGGAAGUCCAGGAAGGUUGCCGAUCCUCUGGCCAAGGACGAUAAUGAAAACAUCUGGUCUCCCACGUCAUGCUUCAUGCCAGCUGAUACAGACCAGGAAGAGAAGCAGACGGAAGGUGAUGGCAUCAGCUAUCUACAUGCCAGCCACAAUCCAGACUCGCGGGAAGGACACUUCUUUGGUGACUAAUAUCACUCUAGAACAAUGACAUUACACUAUUAGAGACAUUGGCUAUUAGGCCACUGAAGGACACUUGUCAUGCUGUCAUCCAUUGAGAUGGGGUACCCAGAGCAACAUCAAGUAUGCUAACUCAGAAGGACUAAAUCACACUUGUGUCUGUACAAGACACCAGAUACAUCCCACAUUCCAAAGACUUUGCGAUGGGAUUGAGAUGAAAUAGCUACAAAUUGUCUAGCUACUAAUGUAUACCUUGUAUUUUGUAUAUGAUACUGUCAAAAGAAAUGUAUAUUGUAUGCAUUGUAAAGCUACCACUUGUAUUGUAAGAAAUGCUGUUAUCAACAAGGGUAUAGACCUUGGUAGGACUCUCCAAAGAGUAGGAGAUAGAAAACUCUCAUCCAUAGGAUAGAUCUGAUACCUCUGACAUCAAAAAUGAGGUGCUAAGCAGAAAAUGCUGCACAGACAGGUUUAAUGGACAGAUGACACUGAUGUUACUCUCGAGAAAGAAUGAGAGAUCAGGGAAAAGACACUAGGAAAUCUUUAAUCAGGAACCUGAGUUAUUGUAAGAGAUCAUUGACAUCCAGGCAAAGAUUAUGUUCCUGACAUUACCUCGGAUGGACAUUCAUGGGUUG
Long non-coding RNA from Monodelphis domestica (gray short-tailed opossum), 1623 nucleotides. The record is from Ensembl. Lineage: Eukaryota; Metazoa; Chordata; Mammalia; Didelphimorphia; Didelphidae.